RNAcentral lists this ribosomal RNA (772 nucleotides) under uncultured Gammaproteobacteria bacterium. Its description in RNAcentral is "bacterial SSU rRNA". It matches the Rfam family "Bacterial small subunit ribosomal RNA", at positions 62 to 868 of the family's 1533-position model. Lineage: Bacteria; Pseudomonadati; Pseudomonadota; Gammaproteobacteria. The record is from RNAcentral.
UCGAACGUGAAAGCACUUCGGUGUGAGUAGAGUGGCGGACGGGUGAGUAACGCGUGGGAAUCUGCCCAGUAGUGGGGGACAACUACCGGAAACGGUAGCUAAUACCGCAUACGCCCUAUGGGGGAAAGGCUUCGGCCGCUAUUGGAUGAGCCCGCGUCAGAUUAGCUAGUUGGUAGGGUAAAGGCCUACCAAGGCAACGAUCUGUAGCUGGUCUGAGAGGACGAACAGCCACACUGGGACUGAGACACGGCCCAGACUCCUACGGGAGGCAGCAGUGGGGAAUAUUGGACAAUGGGCGAAAGCCUGAUCCAGCAAUGCCGCGUGUGUGAAGAAGGCCUGCGGGUUGUAAAGCACUUUCAGUUGGGAAGAUGAUGACGUUACCAACAGAAGAAGCACCGGCUAAAUCCGUGCCAGCAGCCGCGGUAAUACGGAUGGUGCGAGCGUUAAUCGGAAUUACUGGGCGUAAAGCGCGCGUAGGCGGCUAAGUCAGUCAGAAGUGAAAGCCCCGGGCUCAACCUGGGAAUUGCUUUUGAUACUGCUUGGCUAGAGUUUGGUAGAGGAUAGUGGAAUUCCAGGUGUAGCGGUGAAAUGCGUAGAUAUCUGGAGGAACAUCAGUGGCGAAGGCGACUGUCUGGACCAAAACUGACGCUGAGGUGCGAAAGCGUGGGUAGCAAACAGGAUUAGAUACCCUGGUAGUCCACGCCGUAAACGAUGUCAACUAGCCGUCGGGUCUAUUUACAGACUUGGUGGCGCAGCUAACGCGAUAAGUUGA